UCGGGAAUAUUGCGCAAUGGAGGAAACUCUGACGCAGUGACGCCGCGUGCAGGAAGAAGGUUUUCGGAUUGUAAACUGCUUUAGACAGGGAAGAAACAAGACAGUACCUGUAGAAUAAGCUCCGGCUAACUACGUGCCAGCAGCCGCGGUAAUACGUAGGGAGCAAGCGUUAUCCGGAUUUAUUGGGUGUAAAGGGUGCGUAGACGGGAAGUCAAGUUAGUUGUGAAAUCCCUCGGCUUAACUGAGGAACUGCAACUAAAACUAACUUUCUUGAGUGCUGGAGAGGAAAGUGGAAUUCCUAGU
Molecule: ribosomal RNA, 303 nt
Filed under: uncultured bacterium
Lineage: Bacteria
Description: bacterial SSU rRNA
Rfam family: Bacterial small subunit ribosomal RNA
Source: RNAcentral